RNAcentral lists this transfer RNA (58 nucleotides) under Acinetobacter baumannii. RNAcentral describes it as "tRNA-Ala". It matches the Rfam family "tRNA", at positions 8 to 63 of the family's 71-position model. From Rfam's summary of the family: Transfer RNA (tRNA) molecules are approximately 80 nucleotides in length. RNAcentral also lists the same sequence under 2 other names. The record is from RNAcentral. Lineage: Bacteria; Pseudomonadati; Pseudomonadota; Gammaproteobacteria; Moraxellales; Moraxellaceae.
UAGCUCAGCUGGGAGAGCGCCUGCUUUGCACGCAGGAGGUCUGCGGUUCGAUCCCGCA